RNAcentral lists this ribosomal RNA (292 nucleotides) under uncultured bacterium. Its description in RNAcentral is "partial 16S ribosomal RNA". It matches the Rfam family "Archaeal small subunit ribosomal RNA", at positions 456 to 747 of the family's 1478-position model. The record is from RNAcentral.
UGCCAGCCGCCGCGGUAAUACCGGCAGCCCAAGUGGUGGCCGCUGUUAUUGGGCCUAAAGCGUCCGUAGCUGGCCGCACAAGUCCGUCGGGAAAUCCGCCCGCUCAACGGGCGGCCGUCCGGCGGAACCUGUGUGGCUUGGGACCGGGAGGCCUGAGGGGUACGAUCGGGGUAGGAGUGAAAUCCUAUAAUCCUGGACGGACCACCAAUGGGGAAACCACCUCAGGAGGAUGGACCCGACAGUGAGGGACGAAAGCCAGGGUCUCCAACCGGAUUAGAAACCCGUGUAGUCC